CAUGUAUUUUCACCACAAAAACAGAACUAGUUCUAGUAUAUCUUAAAAUCGCGUCACAAAAUAAACCAUUAUAUGACCCUGAGUUUUUUUGAAAAAAAUUCUGAAAAAUUUCUUAUUUUCCUUUUUAUUUAUUUAUUUUUAAAAAGUGCUGGUAUUUGGUGACACACAUCUGGUAUUCGUACGAAGAAUAGUAUUGUUACUACAUGCAAGAAUGAUAGAAAACAAGACAUUCGUUUACAGUUAGCUUUUUUGGGUUUUGAUUUCCUGUUGAGUGUCACUUUCACGAACCCAGAACACGCGAGCCAAACAAAAAACGAAAGAAAAAUUGACAAAUUGCACGGUAGUACAAAACAAUAAAACCAAAACAAAGAGCUGAAGUCAAGGCUAGUGUUUAAUUAUUAUUUAAAAUCUAAGUGAAAAAUGUAUAAACUUGAAAAAGAAGUCCGCAAUGGCGGAAUUUAACAACAAUAGUACAAAAAAGUCGUAUAUAAAGAGUUUUUUCACUUUUCCAACCAACAAAAAAGUUGGCAAAAUGGCGAACUUUUUGUAACAAAACAUAUAAUUUUAAUUAUAAAUAUGCCUUAUUAUAUUGGAUCAUUUUAUAGAUGACGUGAUUGUGAUAUUUUAUCUGCACAUUAUUCAAUUUGGUUCACUAUGUUUCACAUUUCCGUUUUCCAUUUGACAAUUCUUAUGUUGCCUAUUCCCUUUCGUGGGUCGUGAGCGCGUUACUAUGUCGUAAUCUUGCCGUCUAUCAUUCUUGACUACAUGUGCGUUUCGGGUAUAAAUAUAUUUGUUUGUAUGUAUGUCCCAUAUUGGUAUGGUUUUUUAUAGACACCCUCAGGCAUGGACGGCAUACACGAUUCAUACUGCGCGCUAAAGGUACAUCUCUCUCGGGACCACGCUUAGAAAGUAUUCGCUUAUUAUGCUAGACUUGCUAACCAGAUUGGCUCUUCAAGGAUGAUAUUCUGGGCUCGAAUCGCGUCAGUCGUGAGCGAGCGAAUAAUCAUAUCGAGUGAAAUUUCGUAACGUAUCGUGUAGCCGGAUCGCCGUACUCGAUACGAAAAGAAUAGAAAUAACUUCCCUGAUGUUGCUCUAAAUUUCUUACGAAUAGCAUGAAAUGUGAAACUAAACACAAGAAAAAUUAUUUGAAUUGGAAUUGAACGUAAAUAUUCAAAUUUAUUAUACGUUUAUACAGAAAGUUUUUGCAGGCAAUAAAAUGAAGCCUACCGUGUUUUUUAUACAAGUUUAUCAGCACUCAGGAAGAGGUUUAGACUGGUCAAAGACGCAUUUUCUUGCAUCCUAUGGGAACUAAAAUUUAACGCUCCUUCAACUAGCAGCUCUAUGCCUUUUGGCGAGUGAAGGCUAUCACUUGUGGGAACGAUUUUUUAUUUGACAUGUGUCAAAGCUCAUUGAGUAAAAUUGUAGGGGACGUAUUUAAAAAGAUGAACACGAAACUUUGUCCAUGUUUCAAUAAAUUUUCGUCAUGCGAGGCUAUUAACACUCAGUAGGGAAUGAUUUUUUAAUUGACAUGUGUCAAAGCGCAUUGAGUAAAAUUGUAGGGGGCGUAGUUAAAGAGAUGAAAACGAAAUUUGGUCCAUGUUUCAUUAAAUUUUCGCCAGACCGUUUAUCUAAAUGCACAGGAUACUUUGUUGAGAAAUAUAAUAUGAGGAGGUAUGUUUGUCGACUAAAAGAUAAUACAAAAGGUGUCUAAGUAACUAAAAAAUUUUAGUUUUCGGAUGCAUUGAUGGUACACAUUUUGGCCUUCAAAAACCAACUGCGAAUGAACAUAUGUUUUUCAAAAGAAAAUUAUAAUUUGUUAUUACGAACAUCGAAUUUAGCUAUUGAUUCAUAAUAUGACGAACCCGCAUUUUGUGCAGAGGAGAUUUUUAGAAGAAUCUUACAAUCUGGACAAUUUCAGAAAUGUCUGGUUUUUGGGUAAUACAUGCACAUAUACAGCUACAAAAUAUAUUUAUAGACAUAUAUAUGCAUUUUGUCAAUUAACAGGAGAUUUUGGAUAGCCUUUGAAACCGUGGUGUUUGUCAUCAUUUAGAAACCCCGAGUUUGGCUCGUGCCAAGCACGGUUUAUUGAAAUACAUGCAAAAGCAUACUGUAUUGUUGAAUACAUCAUUGGUAUACUGAAGGACCGAUGGAAAAUUCUCAGUAAUGAUAAAGGAAGUCGGUAUAGUAUGCAUACAUUGAUAUAGAUGCUGGAAAUGAGACUCAAUUAACUAAAAAAUAGUCAUAAAAUUAGAGGUCAUACAUAUCAUGUUGUCUUUAGAUAAUAAUUAAAAAGGACAUUUGAAUUUAUAUGGUUUUAAAAAAUAUAUCUUCAAUAAAAAUAGAAACUUGGAAUUAACGUAUGGUAAUGGUGUUUAUUUCAGAACUCUUCUCUUUAAAAUAUCAAGCAUAUGAGUUUUUAUUUCCAACUCUACAGCUAUUAUUUGCAUAUCGGCUUUAUGUGACUCUUAUUUUAUUUGUAGCGACCUCUCUAUCAAAGCAAUUAAUUUCUCAAGAUUUUUAUUGAUAUGGGUUUGCGUUUCUUCAUAUGAGCGUAAAUUAGAUUUGGGGAC
Zeugodacus cucurbitae (melon fly) is the source of this 2570-nucleotide long non-coding RNA. RefSeq lists it as uncharacterized. NCBI's taxonomy places the organism in Eukaryota, Metazoa, Arthropoda, Insecta, Diptera, Tephritidae. The transcript is spliced from 3 exons. The record is from RefSeq and is a predicted model, not a curated record.